AACGAACGCUGGCGGCAGGCCUCAAACAUGCAAGUCUAGGGGGUGUAGCAAUACAUCACCGGCGGACGGGUGCGUAACACGUGGGAAUAUACCUUUCGGUACGGAACAACUGCGGGAAACUGCAGCUAAUACCGUAUACGUCCUAGCGGAGAAAGAUUUAUCGCCGAAGGAUUAGCCCGCGUUCGAUUAGCUAGUUGGUGGGGUAAUGGCCCACCAAGGCGACGAUCGAUAGCUGUUCUGAGAGGAAGAUCAGCCACACUGGGACUGAGACACGGCCCAGACUCCUACGGGAGGCAGCAGUUGGGAAUCUUGGACAAUGGGGGAAACCCUGAUCCAGCCAUGCCGCGUGAGUGAUGAAGGCCUU
This 364-nucleotide ribosomal RNA is filed under the name uncultured bacterium. RNAcentral describes it as "bacterial SSU rRNA". It matches the Rfam family "Bacterial small subunit ribosomal RNA", at positions 29 to 418 of the family's 1533-position model. The record is from RNAcentral.